CUUUAAUANAAAAACUUACUAAAUGCUGGUUCAAGUCCCUCUACCCCCAAAAAUAUGAAUUUUUUUUUAUUGACAUAA
Molecule: transfer RNA, 78 nt
Filed under: Kiaeria falcata
Lineage: Eukaryota; Viridiplantae; Streptophyta; Bryopsida; Dicranales; Rhabdoweisiaceae
Description: Arctoa falcata partial tRNA-Leu
Source: RNAcentral